AGGCCCGUCCCGUGGCAGCAGUGUUGGC
This 28-nucleotide unclassified non-coding RNA is filed under the name Monodelphis domestica (gray short-tailed opossum). RNAcentral describes it as "partial miscellaneous RNA". The record is from RNAcentral. Lineage: Eukaryota; Metazoa; Chordata; Mammalia; Didelphimorphia; Didelphidae.